GACGGAGGGGGCUAGCGUUGUUCGGAAUUACUGGGCGUAAAGCGCGCGUAGGCGGCGGGUCAAGUGGGGCGUGAAAGGCCUGGGCUUAACCUGGGAAUGGCGCUUCAAACUGGCUUGCUUGAGUCCGGGAGAGGGUGGUGGAAUUCCCAGUGUAGAGGUGAAAUUCGUAGAUAUUGGGAGGAACACCGGUGGCGAAAGCGGCCACCUGGCCCGGUACUGACGCUGAAGUGCGAAAGCGUGGGGAGCAAACAGG
This 253-nucleotide ribosomal RNA is filed under the name uncultured bacterium. RNAcentral describes it as "partial 16S ribosomal RNA". It matches the Rfam family "Bacterial small subunit ribosomal RNA", at positions 524 to 776 of the family's 1533-position model. The record is from RNAcentral.